UACAGAGGUCCCGAGCGUUGUUCGGAUUCAUUGGGCGUAAAGGGCGCGUAGGCGGCCUGUUAAGUCGAACGUGAAAUCCCCGGGCUCAACCCGGGAACUGCGUCCGAUACUGGCAGGCUUGAAUCCGGGAGAGGGAUGCGGAAUUCCAGGUGUAGCGGUGAAAUGCGUAGAUAUCUGGAGGAACACCGGUGGCGAAGGCGGCAUCCUGGACCGGCAUUGACGCUGAGGCGCGAAAGCCAGGGGAGCAAACGGG
Molecule: ribosomal RNA, 253 nt
Filed under: uncultured bacterium
Lineage: Bacteria
Description: partial 16S ribosomal RNA
Rfam family: Bacterial small subunit ribosomal RNA
Source: RNAcentral